RNAcentral lists this ribosomal RNA (496 nucleotides) under uncultured bacterium. RNAcentral describes it as "partial 16S ribosomal RNA". It matches the Rfam family "Bacterial small subunit ribosomal RNA", at positions 28 to 506 of the family's 1533-position model. The record is from RNAcentral.
GAUGAACGCUGGCGGCGUGCCUAAUACAUGCAAGUCGAGCGAACAGACGAGGAGCUUGCUCCUCUGACGUUAGCGGCGGACGGGUGAGUAACACGUGGAUAACCUACCUAUAAGACUGGGAUAACUUCGGGAAACCGGAGCUAAUACCGGAUAAUAUAUUGAACCGCAUGGUUCAAUAGUGAAAGACGGUUUUGCUGUCACUUAUAGAUGGAUCCGCGCCGCAUUAGCUAGUUGGUAAGGUAACGGCUUACCAAGGCAACGAUGCGUAGCCGACCUGAGAGGGGAGUCGGCCCACCUGAAAUUGGACACGGGCACAAGCCCCCAGGGGAGGAAGGAGGAGGAAAUUUUCCGAAAUGGGCGAAAGCCUGACGGAGCAACCCCGCGGGGGUGAUGAAGGUUUUCGAAUCGUAAAACUCUGUUAUUAGGAAAAAAAAAAUGUGUAAAAAACUAUGCCCGUUUUGACGGUACCCAAGCAGAAAGCCACGGCUAACUACGU